Molecule: long non-coding RNA, 610 nt
Organism: Patella vulgata (common limpet)
Lineage: Eukaryota; Metazoa; Mollusca; Gastropoda; Patellidae
Exons: 6
Source: RefSeq, a predicted model, not a curated record
CAGAUAUGUCCAAUAUGACGAUUGGUGGUAUAUCAGAACUAAUGGGGCGGCGGGAACUGGAACGAUCAGUUGGACGCCUCGACCCGGUGUCUUCCCGUCUGGAAGGCGAAAGAUCUACGAGAAUACACAAUGGCCUGUUGUGGCACACAAUAUGUACUGGUCUAACCUUACAACCUAUGCAAAAGAAAAUGGUGGGAUGUACAACUUUAUUCUUGAUUCACACGGCCAUGCUUUACCUUUUGAGGAGCGUUUCUGGAAUGACCUUUUUAAAGAUGGCAAAACUUGGGGAUUAAUGGUGUAUGAACAGGAUUUUUUAAAUACAAACUUUGAUUCGAUCAACGCUACUGUUUCCGAUGUUGUUUCCGGUAAGACCUGGUUGAUGGAAAUGGGAAACGCUGCCAGGAAAAAUGGCUUGACGCUUCAGUAUUGCAUGAGCUACCCCAGACAUGCCAUGGCUGCACUGGAAAUACCUGUUGUCACUCAGGCACGAGCAUUUGCAGAUAACCGUCCCAACACAGACCACUGGACAAUCGGAGUAUCUUCUAUACUUGCUGAAGCUUUGGGCAUAGCACCAUACAAAGACAAUUUUUGGACAAUGGAAGUUCAGCCA